This 498-nucleotide ribosomal RNA is filed under the name uncultured soil bacterium. RNAcentral describes it as "bacterial SSU rRNA". It matches the Rfam family "Bacterial small subunit ribosomal RNA", at positions 26 to 517 of the family's 1533-position model. The record is from RNAcentral.
AGAUUGAACGCUGGCGGAAUGCUUUACACAUGCAAGUCGAACGGCAGCACGGGGGCAACCCUGGUGGCGAGUGGCGAACGGGUGAGUAACACAUCGGAACGUGCCCAGUCGUGGGGGAUAACGUAGCGAAAGCUACGCUAAUACCGCAUACGAACUCUGGUUGAAAGCGGGGGAUCGCAAGACCUCGCGCGAUUGGAGCGGCCGAUGGCAGAUUAGGUAGUUGGUGGGGUAAAAGGCUCACCAAGCCGACGAUCUGUAGCUGGUCUGAGAGGACGACCAGCCACACUGGGACUGAGACACGGCCCAGACUCCUACGGGAGGCAGCAGUGGGGAAUUUUGGACAAUGGGCGCAAGCCUGAUCCAGCCAUUCCGCGUGCAGGAUGAAGGCCCUCGGUUGUAAAACUGCUUUUUGUACGGAACGAAAAGGCUUCCUCUAAUACGGGAAGCUCAUGACGGUACCGUAAGAAUAAGCACCGGCUAACUACGUGCCAGCAGCCG